This 197-nucleotide ribosomal RNA is filed under the name Bacillus sp. BI3. RNAcentral's name for it is "partial 16S ribosomal RNA". It matches the Rfam family "Bacterial small subunit ribosomal RNA", at positions 1 to 191 of the family's 1533-position model. The record is from RNAcentral. Lineage: Bacteria; Bacillati; Bacillota; Bacilli; Caryophanales; Bacillaceae.
UUUAUUGGAGAGUUUGAUCCUGGCUCAGGAUGAACGCUGGCGGCGUGCCUAAUACAUGCAAGUCGAGCGAAUGGAUUAAGAGCUUGCUCUUAUGAAGUUAGCGGCGGACGGGUGAGUAACACGUGGGUAACCUGCCCAUAAGACUGGGAUAACGCCGGGUAACCGGGGAUAAUACCGGAUAACAUUUUGAACUGCAU